Molecule: ribosomal RNA, 404 nt
Filed under: bacterium
Lineage: Bacteria
Description: partial 16S ribosomal RNA
Rfam family: Bacterial small subunit ribosomal RNA
Source: RNAcentral
UGGGGAAUCUUGCGCAAUGGGCGAAAGCCUGACGCAGCCAUGCCGCGUGAAUGAUGAAGGUCUUAGGAUUGUAAAAUUCUUUCACCGGGGACGAUAAUGACGGUACCCGGAGAAGAAGCCCCGGCUAACUUCGUGCCAGCAGCCGCGGUAAUACGAAGGGGGCUAGCGUUGCUCGGAAUUACUGGGCGUAAAGGGCGCGUAGGCGGAUCGUUAAGUCAGAGGUGAAAUCCCAGGGCUCAACCCUGGAACUGCCUUUGAUACUGGCGAUCUUGAGUAUGAGAGAGGUAUGUGGAACUCCGAGUGUAGAGGUGAAAUUCGUAGAUAUUCGGAAGAACACCAGUGGCGAAGGCGACAUACUGGCUUAUUACUGACGCUGAGGCGCGAAAGCGUGGGGAGCAAACAGG